RNAcentral lists this long non-coding RNA (318 nucleotides) under Elaeis guineensis (African oil palm). RNAcentral's name for it is "long non-coding RNA (EGUI_LNC016939)". Lineage: Eukaryota; Viridiplantae; Streptophyta; Magnoliopsida; Arecales; Arecaceae. The record is from RNAcentral.
CGAGACCAGCAUGAGCCCGAUAAGGAUAAGGCCCAGCCCGGCCCGACAUGAUGGGCCUCCCAUGGCGGGCCGAGCCGGGCACGAUUAGAGUCGUUACGGGUUUAUCCAGGCCCGUAACAGUAACAUAACGGGCAAAUUUUCUUUGUUUAGAUUUUAAACGGUAAAAUUUCAUGAAAACAUCAUUUUUACUCUCUCCAACCGCGGCAAUAUUUGAGGAUAGAGAGGCCAUUUGAUAAUUUAUAUAAUUUUUUGAUAAAAAAAAUUUCAAAAAACUAAUAUAUUUCCACAACAUAUUGCAGUGGAUAGUCCAACGGCAAC